Molecule: ribosomal RNA, 470 nt
Filed under: uncultured bacterium
Lineage: Bacteria
Description: SSU rRNA
Rfam family: Bacterial small subunit ribosomal RNA
Source: RNAcentral
AGAACGAACGCUGGCGGCAUGCCUAACACAUGCAAGUCGAACGCUCUUGGGAUUUCGGUCUCAAGGGAGUGGCGCACGGGUGAGUAGCGCGUGGGAACCUGCCCUGUUGUGGGGGAUAACCGAGGGAAACUUCGGCUAAUACCGCAUAAGCCGGCUGUCUUGCGAAAGAUGGCCGGGAAAGAUUUAUCGCGACAGGAGGGGCCCGCGUCGGAUUAGGUAGUUGGUGGGGUAACGGCCCACCAAGCCUGUGAUCCGUAGCUGGUCUGAGAGGAUGAUCAGCCACACUGGGACUGAGACACGGCCCAGACUCCUACGGAGGCAGCAGUGGGGAAUAUUGGACAAUGGGCGCAAGCCUGAUCCAGCAAUGCCGCGUGAGUGAUGAAGGCCUUAGGGUUGUAAAGCUCUUUCGCCCGCGACGAUGAUGACGGUAGCGGGAGAAGAAGCCCGGCUAACUUCGUGCCAGCAGCCGC